UAGUAGAUACAAUGGAGCUAUC
RNAcentral lists this microRNA (22 nucleotides) under Dinoponera quadriceps. Its description in RNAcentral is "dqu-miR-11661-5p". Lineage: Eukaryota; Metazoa; Arthropoda; Insecta; Hymenoptera; Formicidae. The record is from miRBase by way of RNAcentral.